This 444-nucleotide ribosomal RNA is filed under the name uncultured bacterium. RNAcentral's name for it is "bacterial SSU rRNA". It matches the Rfam family "Bacterial small subunit ribosomal RNA", at positions 398 to 836 of the family's 1533-position model. The record is from RNAcentral.
CGCGUGUGUGAAGAAGGCUUCGGGUUGUAAAGCACUUUCAAUUGUGAAGAAGGGGUUCGUGUUAAUAGCACGGAUCUUUGACGUUAACUUUAGAAGAAGCACCGGCUAACUCCGUGCCAGCAGCCGCGGUAAUACGGAGGGUGCAAGCGUUAAUCGGAAUUACUGGGCGUAAAGCGCGCGUAGGCGGUUGUUUAAGUCAGAUGUGAAAGCCCCGGGCUCAACCUGGGAAUGGCCUCUGAUACUGGAUAACUAGAGUUUGGGAGAGGGGAGUAGAAUUUCAGGUGUAGCGGUGAAAUGCAUAGAUAUCUGAAGGAAUACCAGUGGCGAAGGCGACUCCCUGGCCUAAAACUGACGCUGAGGUGCGAAAGCGUGGGUAGCAAACAGGAUUAGAUACCCUGGUAGUCCACGCUGUAAACGAUGUCACUAGCCGUUGGGACUCUUGAA